AGCAAUACCAUUAAUUAAGUCUAUUUGUGGUGUUUGGUGUUUUUGGGGAUUCAAAUAUAAAUAAAACGCAAACCCCCAAACCAAACCAAACCAAAAAGUGCGGACAUACUCUGUUCCUCAAAAACAGACCUCUUCUCUUUACUUCUCAACAUUCAAUUCCAGGCUCCUUUCUCUAUCUUCAGCAAUUUCCCCAAUCUCUUCAAAGAAUUCUCAAACCCUAGAUUUCGACGUUGAACCUCACUUAUCGUGUUCGAUGCCGGUAGCCGCCUCAAAGUUGCUGUUCUUAUUAGCUUAAUCUCAUGAUGAUGCCUUCCUUAGCUUUUCCUUCUCCUCUUAUCCAGAAGUUCAUUGGAAUCGCAGCACCGACUCCUUCCCUCGCUUUUCCGGUAAGUAGACGUCAUUAGAUCUGUGAUUUUGUAUUUUUUAAAAUGAAAUUUCUUGUUAUUAAAACGGUUUUUGAUUUUGCUUUUUUUAUAUGGAUCGAAACUCGGAUUCGAGUCGCUCGUUUCUCCGAGGAAUUGACGUAAACAGACCAGCCGGCGGUGACGAAGAGGACGCCGGAGUUUCAUCCCCGAACAGCACCGUCUCGUGGAUUAAGCGAUGACGAAGACGGUGAAGUCGAAAGAGCUUCGUUUCGUGGAUGACGAAGACGGCGGUGAAAACAAAGGAAGAAACUCCGGUUAACAAAAGACCAAUCCGCCAUCCUCCGCCAUAGCUUCGAAGCUCGCUAAUCUACUGAGCUUUUACCAAUCGGGAAUGAUGGCGUAACAAUUGAUAGAUGGAGUUUUUGAUUUCAAGAGCACAUCUGUAUCACUUGGAAAUGCUCACUUCAUGAUUUUGUCAUUGAAAUGUAUUUUUUUUAAUGAUCUUGAUAUCACGAGCACAUUUCCAUCACAUGGAAUCAGCUCACUUUUUGAUAUUCAUCAUGUAACACUUGUAGUUUAAAGUUUGGGGAAUGAUAGUGGGAUUGGCCUGGCCA
Molecule: long non-coding RNA, 979 nt
Organism: Spinacia oleracea (spinach)
Lineage: Eukaryota; Viridiplantae; Streptophyta; Magnoliopsida; Caryophyllales; Amaranthaceae
Exons: 2
Source: RefSeq, a predicted model, not a curated record